This is a long non-coding RNA of Quercus lobata, 483 nucleotides long. RefSeq lists it as uncharacterized. The transcript is spliced from 3 exons. The record is from RefSeq and is a predicted model, not a curated record. Lineage: Eukaryota; Viridiplantae; Streptophyta; Magnoliopsida; Fagales; Fagaceae.
ACUAGCAAAAAUACCCGUGGAACAACACGUGGUAUAGCAGUACAGGCACUUGUUGACAAAAGUGGUAAACUGCCAGUACGUAUAGCUGCAGAGUAUGAUGCUCCUGUUGGGAAGAAUGCGUGCAAGCUUGUCAAUCAAAUUGGCGUACAAGUACGAAGUAAUUUGUCCAAUUACAACGUAAAAAAUUGGAAAAGUGUUGAUGCUGCUACUAGAGAUGUGGUGAUUCAAAGUAUCGCGGAUCAGUUUGAGCUAGAAGGAGAUUCCAACUUGGUAACGAAGACAAUAAAUACAAAAUGUGGAAGAUUAUUGAGUAGCGGCUCUAACAAGUUGUAUCAGACUUACAAAAAGCUCGUACAAUCUCAUGGUGCUGACUAUGCAAAAAGCCACCCACCAAAGAAUGCCACACUUGAGCAGUGGAUUGGACUUAUUGAAGGGAGAUGGACCAAUAAGGACUGGCUGGAAAAAUCAAGAAUUAACUCUGAA